ACGGUAGGAGCGGUUGUGUGAAGAUGGGAGUUUCCCAGAGGAAAUGACAUUUAUCUGAUGAUCACAGGGCCUUCACACCCCUUCCUGUCAGGGGCUGAGAUAUUCCAUACACCAAGCUUGGGUGAUGAGGAAUUUGAAAUCCCACCUAUCUCCUUGGAUUCUGAUCCCUCGUUGUCUGUUUCCGAUGUGGUUGACCACUUUGAUGACUUGGCAGACCCUUCCUCUUCACAGAAUGGCAGUUUUUCAGCCCAGUAUUGGGUCCAGACAUUGAACAUACCUGUGGGUAUGACCCAUGGCUUGAUGGAGCAGGGCGGGGAUCCUCGGUGAAGGCUUUAUCAUGGACUUGGACUACUCUAUAAGAACUCAGUAUAGUGCCAACUCACCUGUUACAAUUGAUGUACCAAUGACAGACAUGACAUCUGACUUGAUAGGGCAUAGCCAGUUGACCACCAUUGAUCAGUCAGAACUGAGUUUCCAACUGGGUUUGAGCUCAGGGGGUGGCACCAUCCUGCCACCUGCCCAGUCACCUGAAGAUCGUCUUUCAACCACCCCUUCACCUACUAGUUCACUUCACAAGGAUGGUGUUGAGGAUUUCCGGAGGCAACUUCACAGCCAGAAGACAGUGGUGGUGGAAGCAGGGAAAAAGCAGAAGCUCCCAAAGAAGAGAAAAAAGAAAGAUCCUAAUAAACCUCAGAAACCAGUUUCAGCAUAUGCUUUAUUCUUUCGUGAUACACAGGCUGCCAUCAAGGGACAGAAUCCUAAUGCCACUUUUGGUGAGGUUUCAAAAAUUGUGGCCUCCAUGUGGGAUAGUCUUGGAGAGAAGCAAAAACAGGUAUAUAAGAGGAAAACUGAGGCUGCCAAGAAAGAGUAUCUGAAGGCAUUGACUGCUUACAUAGACAACCAAGAGUGUCAGGCCACUGUGGAAGCAGUGGAAUUGGAUCCACGACCACCAUCACAAAUUCCUUCUCCAUCUCCUAUGGCUACUGUUGACCCAGCAUCUCCAGCACCAGCUUCAAUAGAGCCCCCUGCCCUGUUCCCAACCACUGUUAACUCCACCCUUUCAUCCUAUGUGGCAAACCAGGCAUCUUCAGGAGUUGGGGGUCAGCCCAAUGUCACCAAGUUGAUUAUUACCAAACAAACGUUGCCCUCUUCCAUUACUAUGUCUCAAGGAGGGAUGGUUACUGUUAUCCCAGCCACAGUGGUGACCUCCCAGGGGCUCCAACUAGGCCAAACCAGUACAGCUACUAUCCAGCCCAGUCAACAAGCCCAGAUUGUCACUUGGUCAGUGUCGCAGGCAGCAGCAGCUGCUGCUGCUUCUAUGCAACUGCCUCCACCCCGACUACAGCCCCCUCCAUUACAACAGAUGCCACAGCGUCCGACUCAGCAGCAAGUUACUAUUUCACAGCAGCCUCCUCCACUCCAGGCCAUAAAACAGCCUCCACCUCAGAAAGUUUGAAUCAAUUUACAGCAACAGCUAUCUCCUCUGCAGAUCAAGAGUGUGUCUCUACCCACUUUGAAAGUGCAGACUACUUUAGUCCCACCAACUGUGGAAAGUAGUCCUGAGCAGCCUAUGAACAAUAGCCCUGAGGCCCAUACGGUGGAGGCAACUUCUCCUGAGACUAUCUGUGAGAUGAUCACAGAUGUAGUUCCUGAGGUUUAGUCCCCUUCUCAGAUAGAUGUUGAAUUGGUGAGUGGGUCUCCUGUGGCACUCUCACCCCAGCUUUGAUGUUUGAGUUCUGGUUGUGAGAACACUUCCAUUGUGAGUAAGGACUGGAACAAUGAAUACUGCAGCAAUGAGUGUGUGACGAAGCACUGCAGGAAUGUAUUCUUGGUCUGGGUAGCCUCUAGAAAUUCAAACACAGUGGUGUUUGUGAAAUAGUCCUUCCUGUUCUCCAAGCCAGUGAAGAGUUAUCUGCUGGGAACAUGUCCAAGAGCCUGUUUUUGAAACACAAGCUGGGCUUCUGGUAGUGCCUG
Non-coding RNA from Chlorocebus sabaeus (green monkey), 1974 nucleotides. Lineage: Eukaryota; Metazoa; Chordata; Mammalia; Primates; Cercopithecidae. The record is from RefSeq and is a predicted model, not a curated record.